GACGAACGCUGGCGGCGUGCUUAACACAUGCCAGUCGAACGGAAAGGCCCUGCUUUUGUGGGGUGCUCGAGUGGCGAACGGGUGAGUAACACGUGAGUAACCUGCCCUUGACUUUGGGAUAACUUCAGGAAACUGGGGCUAAUACCGGAUAGGAGCUCCUGCUGCAUGGUGGGGGGUGGAAAGUUUCGGCGGUUGGGGAUGGACUGGCGGCUUAUCAGCUUGUUGGUGGGGUAGUGGCUUACCAAGGCUUUGACGGGUAGCCGGCCUGGGAGGGUGGCCGGCGACAUUGGGACUGAGAUACGGACCAGACUCCUACGGGAGGCAGCAGUGGGGAAUCUGGCACAAUGGGCGGAAGCCUGAUGCAGCAACGCCGCGUGCGGGAUGACGGCCUUCGGGUUGUAAAACGCUUUCGCCUGUGACGAAGCGUGAGUGACGGUAAUGGGUAAAGAAGCACCGGCUAACUACGUG
RNAcentral lists this ribosomal RNA (468 nucleotides) under uncultured bacterium. Its description in RNAcentral is "partial 16S ribosomal RNA". It matches the Rfam family "Bacterial small subunit ribosomal RNA", at positions 28 to 507 of the family's 1533-position model. The record is from RNAcentral.